AACUGACAAAGGUAAACUAUUCUGAAAGGAUGGGGAGUAAAGUUAUGGGUCUAAAGCACUUUUAAGUGUUUUAGACAGCCAGAUUAUCUAU
This 91-nucleotide non-coding RNA is filed under the name Atribacterota. RNAcentral describes it as "Candidatus Atribacteria c-di-GMP sequence". It matches the Rfam family "c-di-GMP-I riboswitch aptamer". From Rfam's summary of the family: GEMM was predicted in a large-scale screen for bacterial structured RNA regulatory elements. Genes associated with GEMM are involved in a diverse array of functions, including chemotaxis regulation, signal transduction, secretion and chitin. Lineage: Bacteria; Pseudomonadati. The record is from RNAcentral.